This 450-nucleotide ribosomal RNA is filed under the name uncultured bacterium. RNAcentral's name for it is "bacterial SSU rRNA". It matches the Rfam family "Bacterial small subunit ribosomal RNA", at positions 354 to 796 of the family's 1533-position model. The record is from RNAcentral.
GUGGGGAAUAUUGGACAAUGGGCGAAAGCCUGAUCCAGCCAUGCCGCGUGUGUGAAGAAGGUCUUCGGAUUGUAAAGCACUUUAAGUUGGGAGGAAGGGCAGUAAGUUAAUACCUUGCUGUUUUGACGUUACCGACAGAAUAAGCACCGGCUAACUUCGUGCCAGCAGCCGCGGUAAUACGAAGGGUGCACGCGUUAAUCGGAAUUACUGGGCGUAAAGCGCGCGUAGGUGGGUUUGUAAGUUGGAGGUGAAAUCCCCGGGCUCGACCUGGGAACUGCCGUCAAUACGGCAUGACUAGAGUACGGUAGAGGGUAGUGGAAUGUCCUUUGUAGCGGUGAAAUGCGUAGAUAUAGGAAGGAACACCAGUGGCGAAGGCGACUACCUGGACUGAUACUGACACUGAGGUGCGAAAGCGUGGGGAGCAAACAGGAUUAGAAACCCCUGUAGUCC